This 45-nucleotide non-coding RNA is filed under the name Schistosoma mattheei. The record is from RNAcentral. Lineage: Eukaryota; Metazoa; Platyhelminthes; Trematoda; Strigeidida; Schistosomatidae.
AUCCAUCUGACGUGUCCCAAAUAGGACGAAACGCGCAUCCUGAAU